Canis lupus familiaris (dog) is the source of this 837-nucleotide long non-coding RNA. RefSeq lists it as uncharacterized. Lineage: Eukaryota; Metazoa; Chordata; Mammalia; Carnivora; Canidae. The record is from RefSeq and is a predicted model, not a curated record. The transcript has 3 exons.
AAUUGGCUGACGGCUUGAAGAUGAGACAUAAAAGAAAGAGAGUCAUGAUGAUGACUCCAAGAUAACACUUACUCUGUGUGUGUCCAUGUAGCUGGAACGACACAAUUGCUACUUACUGAGAUGGGGAUGAAAGCAGAAGGACACGUUAACUUUGGAAGUGGUAUCAUGCAUCCUAAAAUUUCAACUGAAGAAACCGUUUCAAGCAGGAGAGGGUGACCAAUCAAAUACUGGGGAGAGAAGAGAAUUGACCUUUGUGGUUUGUAGCAACAAGGAGGACACUGUUGGACAAGAACAGACUCAUUGGAGAGUUUCUGUACAUAUGAAUGGAAAAGACCAUUUCUACUCUAAAAGAUGAGAUUAUAUACAUGGAUUUACUCUCUCGUCUUCCUUCGGCUGUGGCCCACCUACUCAGGGCUCUAUUUAUAAAGCUGGCUUGGCAUGUAAUUUGGUUGCCUAAUGGAAUGGAGGUGAAUAACAAGUGGUCCCACUGUAAAGUAAUCAUGUGCAAGACGGAUGACGUAGAACAUUUGGUUUCAAGAACUUCCUGCACUAUUAGUCCCUUGGGUAAUACAUCUUAGCUUCUCCUAGUGCGUAUUGUACCACAAUUACGCUGCACAUUUUCAGCUUUUGCAAAAUGCACCAGUGUGCCAGGGCCAGACUGACAUAUCUCCACAUCGAUGGUUCCUAAUAAAACAACAACUGACAAGAUACAUUUUUAGCCGCAAAUACAGCUCCUUCAAGGUUGUGCUGUGUCAAAAUGCUGUGAUGAGAUGGCAUUGUGAGGAGUUACUACUGCUGAAGCACACCAUAUUACUUCUGUUUUCAUCGAAGAUAAAU